Sphaeramia orbicularis (orbiculate cardinalfish) is the source of this 260-nucleotide long non-coding RNA. RefSeq lists it as uncharacterized. The transcript has 3 exons. The record is from RefSeq and is a predicted model, not a curated record. Lineage: Eukaryota; Metazoa; Chordata; Actinopteri; Kurtiformes; Apogonidae.
GGGGCGGUGCCAGACGCGCCUUUAUAAUCAGGUGAGUGGUCACACCUGACCCUCUCCUUCCAGUCCUUUGAGCCAGCGUGGCGGUGACUGCAGCUCGGCGUGGCGGAGCCCUUUGUUUGCGGUGGGCAUCGCAAACAUUCAACCCUCAGUGACUACAGACGGUGUAGGGGGAACAGAUCACCCCGCCGGAGGUUUGGUGGGAAGUAACGUGGUCUGCCUGUGUGGGCUGCAGGUAACUGCGGUUCUCCUCCUCCUGUUCU